Gorilla gorilla gorilla (western lowland gorilla) is the source of this 231-nucleotide long non-coding RNA. RefSeq lists it as uncharacterized. The record is from RefSeq and is a predicted model, not a curated record. The transcript has 3 exons. Lineage: Eukaryota; Metazoa; Chordata; Mammalia; Primates; Hominidae.
GGACAGAAUAAGGUCCUUUUUUUUGUUGUUGUUUCCCAAGGAUUAUUAGCUUGAAAGUUAAUAUCAUAUAUGGGCUGUGGCUUAUUGUCCUAUGAGAAAUAGAAGAACCAGCAAUAGAAGAGACCCAGAUCAAGUUUGACUGAAAGGCAAACACCAUUCCCAACUGGCUUUACCAUCUGUCUUUCCACAGAGACAACUCACAGGCUAUAAAGUGCUUGACAUUUCCCUGGC